Molecule: long non-coding RNA, 6517 nt
Filed under: Homo sapiens (human)
Lineage: Eukaryota; Metazoa; Chordata; Mammalia; Primates; Hominidae
Description: HSALNT0404177
Source: RNAcentral
ACAGGGGGUCUUCUCUCUUGGCUUUGGAGCUCCCCAUUCCUCUGUGUCUGUAACAGGGGAGCUUCUUCCUUCUUUCUUCUCCCUUCUUUCUUGCCUGUUAAACUCUCUGCUUCUUAAAACCACUCCAUGUAUGUCCAGGUCAUUUUAUCUAAUUUGGAGACGGAGAACCCUGGUGUUCCUCUGCUCAUCAGAGCCGUCUCACCUGCAAGGGCCAGGAUCCAGCACUAGGGCUGCCCUUUAUGUUCAUGCAGCCUCCACUAGGAAGAUCCUCCUUAGCUGCCACCUGCUGUAAAGGGAUCUAUCUAUCUAUCUGUCUAUCUAUCUAUCUAUCUAUCUUUCUAUCUACCUGUCGAGAGAGAGAGAGGUUUAUUAUAAGGAAUUGACUCAUGUGAUUAUGGAGGCUGAGAAGUUCCACAGUCUGCUGUCUGCAAGCUGGAGACCCAGGAAGGCUGCUGGUGCCGUUCCAGUUUGAUUCUGAAGGCCUGAGAACCAGAACUGAUGCCCACUCAACAUGAAGAUGACAAGGAUGAAGACCUUUAUGAUGAUCCAUUCCCACUUACUGAAUAAUAUCAAGCAUUUUAUUCAACUAUGGAAUGGAAGCAACAGAUUACAGCAGCAUUAACAAGACCUGGGAUACCAUCACCAAUCAAAAUCAUGGAUAUUUCAUAGCACAAGAACGUUGUUUCAGAAUCUCAAAGUACUCCUCCUACUCAACAUGACUUUGAAAUUGCAAUAGUUGUUAGAACGGUCACUGCAGUUUGAUAUAUGAUGUGUUUACAAAGAGGCACAUAUAUUGCUCUUUCAGAAUUAUAACUCUGUAUGCAUUUCAAUGUAAUUGGUUUCCUUUGUCAUCUUCUGAAUUUUAUGUAUUUAAAAAUAUUAUUCUGAUGUUAAUACACAACAAAGAAAGGAUAGAAUUUUCAAUAAAUGGUGUUGGGGAAAUUGGAUAUCCAUAUACAAAAAAUAAAAAUAAAAUUGGAUUCUUAUCUUAAACCCUACACAAAAAUUAACUCAAAAUGGAUUAAAGACAUAGACAUAAGACCUGAAACUUUAAAAUUACUAGAAGAAAACAUAGGGGAUGACACUGGUCUGGGCAAUAACUUUUUGGAUAUGACACUAAAAGUACAAGCAACAAAAGCAAAAAUAGACAAACACAAUUACAUCAAGCUAAAAAAGCUUUCACACAGUAAAGCAAGCAAUCAACAGAGUAAAGAGACUCUGUUGCAACCUACAGAUGCAACUUACAGAAUGCAAGAAUGUAUCUGUCAACCAUACAGCUGAGAAGGAUUUAAUAUCCAAAAUAUACAAGGAACUCAGCUCAAUAGCAAAAACAAAAAACAACAACAAACCAAAACCAACUCACAUAUAACUCAGCUAACAAUGGGCAAAAGAUCUGAAUAAAUAUUUCUCAAAGGAAGAUAUACGAAUUACCAAUGGGAAUAUGAAAAGAUGCUCUACACCACUAAUCAUCAGGAAAAUGCAAAUUAAAACCACAAUGAGAUACCACCUCACACCUGCUAGAAUAUCUAUUAUCAAAAAGAUAAGUGAUAACAAACGUUGGUAAGGCCAUGUAGAAAAUGGAACCCUUGUACACUGUUGAUGGGAAUAUAGAUUGCUACAAUCAUUAUGAAAAACAGUAUGGAAAUUCCUCAAGAUACUAAAUAUAGAACUACCAUAUGAUCCAGCAAUCCCACUUCUGGGCAUAUAUUUAAAGGAAAUGAAAUCAGUAUCUUGAAGAGGUAUCUGGACUCAUAUGUUUAUUGCAGCAUUAUUCACAAUAGCCAAGAUACGGAAUCAACCUUAGUGCUUAGUGUCCAUUGAUGGAUGAAUGGAUGAAGAAAAUGUGAUACACACACACACACAAACACACACACACAUGCACGCACACACAGGGAUAUUAUUCAGUCUUUAACAAGAAGAAGAUUCUGCCAUUUGCAACAACAUGGGUGGACCUGGAGGACAUUAUGCUAAGUGAAAGCAAGCCAGACACAGAAAAACAAACACUGCACAGCAUGAUCUCACUCAUAUGUGGAAUCUAAGAAGGUUGGACUCAGAAACAGAGCAGAAGGCUGGUUACCAGAGGUGGCAGUAGGGAUGACAGUGGGAAAUUAGGAGAGGUUGGUUAAAGGAUACAGACUUUUAGGUAUAAAAUGAAUAAGGUCCUCAGAGCUAACGUACGGCACAGUGACUGUGUUAAUAAUAAUGUAUUUUAGAUUUGAAAAUUGCUAAGAGAGUAGAUCUUCAGUACUCUCACCACAAAAAAAGGUUGAACUAUGUGAAGUGAUAGAUAACAUUAAUUAGCUUGAUUGUGGUCAUCAUUUCACAAUGGAUAUAUGCAUCAGAGCUUCAUGUUGUACAUCUAUAUUCCAUUUUUAUUUUUUCAAUUAUAACUCAGUAAACCUAGAAAAAAAUAAUAAUAUCACUCUGAAAAGUGGUCUGCAGGUUUCACUAGCUUCUGAAGGGGGCUGUGGCACUUCCUAGAUGCUGGGCACUAUUCUAUGGUUUUCCAUAUAUUAUUAAGUGAAUCCUCACAGUCACAUUAUGAGGUAUGUAUUAAUAAUUAAGAUAAAAAAACUGAGGGUCACAGAGUAGAUAAAUUCCCCAAGGAUAAAGCCAGUAAGUGGCAUAGUUGGCACUGAAAUCUAGAAAUCCAAGCCCCUAAGCUUUUUGCACCUCUCCUUGGUGAGGUAACAACCUUGUCAUGGUCCAGUGAAGAGGCAGCGCCCAGCCCUGUCCCAAGCCCAGUGCUUCCUUCCCCCCAGUGCUUCCUUCCCCAAGUAAUGUUCACAAAGAGUCCCAAAGUGAGCAGAUGUCCCAGGGCCAACUGAGGGGCCCCAAGUCACACUCAAGAGGGAACUGCUAUUGCAAGAACAAAGGAAAUCUGCGCAGGGUUUGCUUCCCCCAAACGCUCCUGGUAAAGUUUCCCAAACUUUUACUUUCUGUGAUCACUUAAUGAACAUUUAACUUACCCAGAGACAAAUCUCAGGUUUUUUUAAAGGUGUCAUCAGAAAUUUCCCAACAACAAAGAGAAAAUGCAGUGUUCUAGGUUAGUAAUAAUAAAAUCUGUUUCUUACAGUGAGAGAGGUGAUAUUUUCUCUUUCCCUAAAACCUCUCCAUCCCUGUUGAUGAUAGAGAACUCAAUCCAACAAGAAGUUUUCUUUCUUCAUUUUUCUUUUUUUUUCAAAUUGAAAAGUAAAAAUUGUAAAUAUUUAUGGUGUACAACAUGAUGUUUUGAUAUUUGUGUACAUUUUGGAAUGGCUAAAUCAAGCUUUUUAACAUAUGCAUUACCUCAUAUACUUAUUUUUGGAGUGAGAACACUUAAAACUGCCUUUCUAGAAAUUUUCCAAUGUAUAGUAUAUUAUUAUUAACUGUGGUCUCAUUAUGUAUAAUAGAUCUCUUGAACUUAUUCCUCCUGUUUAACUGGAAUUUUGUGUCCAUUGACCACCAUCUCCUCAAUCCUCCAACCUCUACCCUCUGGUAGCCACCAUUCUAUGACUUGUUUCUCUGAGCCCUACUUUUUUAGAUUCCACAUAUAAGUGAGAUUAUGCAGUAUUUAUCCUUCUGUGUCUGGCUUAUUUCACUUAGCCUAAUGCCCUCCAGCUUCAGCCAUGUUGUCACAAAUGACAGAAUUUACUUCUUUUAAAGAGCCCUCACACUCUUGCUCUCUCAAGCUACCUUGUCCUUCUGCCUUCUGCCAUGGGAUGCGUAGCAAAAAGGCCCUCACCAGAUGCAGCCCCGUCACCUUGGACUUCCCAGCCUCCAGAACCAUACGAAAUAAAUUUUUCUAAAUAAAUUAGCAUGAGGGCUAAUUUAAAGGUUGAAUAGUAUUUUCUUUAUCCAUUCAUGCAUUAAUGGAUACUUAAGUUGAUUCCAUAUCUUGGCUGUUGUGAAUAAUGCUGCAAUGAACAUGAAAGUAUAGAUAUCUCUUCAAGCUACCGGUUUUAUUUCCUUUAAAUAUAUGCCCAGAAAUUAAAUUGCUGGAUCAUAUGGUAGUUCUAUUUUUAAUUCCUUAAGAAAUCUCCAUACUGUUUUCCAUAAUGGCUGUAUUAAUCUACAUCCCCACCAACAGUGUACAAGGGUUCCAUUUUCUACACAGCCUUGCCAACAUCUGUUAUCUUUCAUCUUUUUGAUACUAGUCAUUUUAACAGAUGUGAAGUGAUAUUAAUAUCUUAUUGUGAUAUUAAUUGCAUUUCUCUGAUUAGUGAUGUUGAAUAUCUUUUCAUAUACCCAUUGGCCACUCAUAUGUCUUUUUUGAGAAAUAUUUAUUCAGAUUCUUUGCCCAUUUUAACUGAUUUAUAUUUGUUUUUGCUUGUUUUUGUUUUUGCUAUUGAGUUGUUUGAGUUUCCUGCAUAUUUUUGAUAUUAACUUCUUAUCAGAUGUGUGAUUUGUAAAUAUAUUCUCCCAUACUAUAUGUUGUUUCUUCACUCUAUGGUCAUUUCCUUUGCCGCGUGGGAGCUUUUUUGGUUUGAUUGAAUUCUAUUUGUGCGAAUUUAUUUAUUUAUUUAUUUAUUUAUUUAUUUAUUUAUUUAUUUAUUUAUUUAUUUUGAGAUGGUGUCUUGCUCUGUCACCCAGGCUGGAGUGCAGUGGCGCGAUCUUGGCUCACUGCAAACUCCCACUUCCGGGUUCAAGGAUUCUCCUGCUUCAGCCUCCUGAGUAGCUGGGAUUACAGGUGCCCACCAGCAUGCCCAGCUAAUUUUUGUAUUUUUAGUAGAGAUGGAGUUUCACCAUGUAGGUCAGGCUGGUCUUGAGCUCCUGACCUCGUGAUCCUCCCGCCUCGGCCUCCCAAAGUGCUGGGAUUACAGGCGUGAGCCACCGUGCCCGGCUGCAUUUUUACUUUUGUUGCUUGUGCUUUUAGGGUCAUAUCCACAAAUUCAUUGCCAAGACCAAUGUCCUAGAGCUUUUUCUCCAUGUUUUCUUCCAGUAUUUAUAAGGUUCUAGGUCUUAUAUUUAAGUCGCUUAUCUACUUUGAGUGGAUUUUUGUGUGUGGUGUGAGACGAGGGUCUAAUUUUAUUUAUUUGCAUCUGGAUAUCCAAUGUUCUCAGCACCAUUUACUGAAGAACUGUCCUUUCCCUAUUGUAUGUUCUUGGAAUCUUUGUCAAAGCUCAAUUGACCAUAAAUUCAUGAAUUAAUUUCUGGGCUGUUUAUUCAGCUCCACUUGUCUGUGUCUGUUUUGUGGCAGUUUUAUGCUGUUUAGAUUACUAUAGCUUUGUAAUAGAUUUUAAAAUCAGGUAGUGUGAUGCCUCUAGCUUUGUUCUUUUUGCUCAAGAUUUAUUUGGCCAUUCAUGGGUCUUUUGUGGUUCCAUCCAAAUUUAUGGAUUGUUUUUUCCAUUUCUGCUAAAAAAAGUCAUUGGAAUUUUGAUAGGAUUGUAUUUGACUCUUGGAUCACUUUGGACAGUAUGGACAUUUUAACAAUAUUAAAUCUUCCAAUUCUUUUUUUUUUUUUUUGAGUCGGAGUCUCACUCUGUCGCCAAGGUUGGAGUGUAGUGGCAUGAUCUUGGCUCACUGCAACCUCCUCCUCCUGGGUUCAAGCAAAUUCUCUGCCUCAGCCUCCUGAGUACCUGGGAUUACAGGCGCCUGCCACCACAGCAGGCUAAUUUUUUGUAUUUUUAGUAAAGACUGGGUUUCACCACGUUGGCCAGGCUGGUCUUGAACUCCUGACCUCGUGUAACACCUGCCUUGGCUUCCCAAAGUGCUGGGAUUAUAGGCCUGAGCCGUCAUGCCUGGCCUUAAAUCUUCCAAUUCUUAAACACAGAAUAUCUUUCUAUUUAUUUGUGUCUUUUUUUAACUUCUUUCAUUCAUGUUUUAUAGUUUUCAGUCUACAGAUCUUUCAUUAACUUGGUUAAAUUUACAUCUAAGUAAUUUUGGGGGGAGGCGCCACUGUAAAUGGGAUUGUUUUCUUGAUUUCUUUUUCAGAUAGUUAAUUGUUCUUAUAUAGAAAUGCUACUGAUUUUUGCAUAUUGAUUUUGUAUCCUGUAACAUUAUUAAAUGUAUUAGUUCUAACAGUUCUUUGGUAGAGUCUUUAGGAUAUUUUAUAUAUGAGAUCAUGUUGUCUGCAAAUAGAGACAAUGUAACUUUUUCCUUUCCAAUUCAAAUGACUUUUAUUUAUUUCUCUUCUAGUUGCUCUGGCUAGAACAUCCAGAACUAUGUUUAAUAGAAGUGGUAAGAGUAGGCAUCCUUGUCUUUUUCUGAUCUUAGAGGAAAAGAUCCCAACUUUUCACUGUAGAGUGUGACGUUAGUUAUGAGCUUUUUAUAUGUAGCCUUUAUUGUAUUGAGGUACACUCCUUCUAUCUCUCACCUAUUGGGACUUUUUACCAUGAAAAAUGUGGAAAUUUGUCCGGUGACUUUUCUUUAUCUCUUGAGAUGAUCACAUGGUUUUUGUCUGUCUUUCUUUUAAUGUGGUGUAUCACAUUUAUUGAUUUAAUUAUGUGAAACCAUCUUUGUAUCCUAGGAAUAAAUCCCUCAUUAGUCUUUCAAAUGGAAAAUCUUAGCUCACAGUUAAAGGUCAGAAGGACUGUCA